CAGCAGUAGCCGCGGGAAUACGUAGGUGGCAAGCGUUGUCCGGAAUUAUUGGGCGUAAAGGGCUCGCAGGCGGUUUCUUAAGUCUGAUGUGAAAGCCCCCGGCUCAACCGGGGAGGGUCAUUGGAAACUGGGAAACUUGAGUGCAGAAGAGGAGAGUGGAAUUCCACGUGUAGCGGUGAAAUGCGUAGAGAUGUGGAGGAACACCAGUGGCGAAGGCGACUCUCUGGUCUGUAACUGACGCUGAGGAGCGAAAGCGUGGGGAGCGAACAGGAUUAGAUACCCCUGUAGUCCCUGUCUCUUAUAC
This 304-nucleotide ribosomal RNA is filed under the name uncultured bacterium. RNAcentral describes it as "partial 16S ribosomal RNA". It matches the Rfam family "Bacterial small subunit ribosomal RNA", at positions 506 to 807 of the family's 1533-position model. The record is from RNAcentral.